UUGAUGCAAAGUCAAAACGAGCUUAGCAUAAGUGCGCUACGCUCGAUCGGGUAAGCAUAACUAUUGGGUAUGAAGUCAUAUGGACCUAAGGUUUGGUGUGAGUGCUUUACACAUAAGGAUAAUAGGCCUAGCAGAUGAUUAAGUCGAAAUUAUUGAAGUGAUAAGGUUUUCAUAAGUCAAAAGGUGAAAUGAUGAGAUGAAAUGUGUCAAAUUUUGAUACAAUAAGGCUAAAUCAUUGAAAAUAAAGAAUUUUCAUCAACCUUAUCACUUUGCACGACCAUUACUCUGAAAAACAAAGAGAAAAGAAAACCAAAAACAAUUUCUUGGCUGGUUUGAAGAAAUUCUAAGGAGAUCCAAGUGAAAUCAAAGCCAAAGAAGUGGAUUAAGCUUAGUUCUAGCCUUUUUAUGAUAUUUCUUGGUGGUUUCCAAGUGGUUUGAGGUUUAGAAAAGCUUGAAGAGAUUGUUUUCGCCGAAAAGUUGCUCGGAUAAGCACAUCAAUACCUAAGACACCACUUGUUACACGGUGAAUUAUAUUUUGGACAGAAGGUAGAGAAAGAAAUGUGUGAAUGACAUGAGGAGAACUGAAGCAUGGUCCUGACCCUGAUUUGUACAUAUGAACAUAUCGACCUUUUUGUGGGUUAUUUCAGUUUAUCAAUGUGAUAUUUGUAAUAAAGUGUGAAGUUAUGUUUUGAAAACAAAUUGGGUUAUUUAAUAUUUAUGUAUAAUAUGUUUGAGACACACUUUAUGUUUAAUAUAAAUAAUGUGAAAUAAGUUUUCAAGUUUAAAAAAAAAAAAAAUGUCCAGACUUCCGCAAUAAGAAAUUAUGAUAUAGUUUUAAAACGUAACACCUCAGAUAUGGUUUUAACUAAAAUAAGUGAGGGU
Humulus lupulus (European hop) is the source of this 882-nucleotide long non-coding RNA. RefSeq lists it as uncharacterized. The transcript is spliced from 4 exons. The record is from RefSeq and is a predicted model, not a curated record. NCBI's taxonomy places the organism in Eukaryota, Viridiplantae, Streptophyta, Magnoliopsida, Rosales, Cannabaceae.